UGAACUUUUCUGAUCAGCAGUAAAACAGGAAUGCAUGGACCUAUGUCCUGUGACAUGGGAGAUUUUCCCCAAGUGGUGGUUAAGAAGUCUACUAGCAACUAGGCUUUCAUUUUAUCAAUUUCUCAACCCCAGCAGACGAAGAACGCUUCUAUUUCAAAUCAUGCCUGCAAAAUCCCAGGUCUCAUGGCCCAGCCUGAGGGAUUUCUACAUUCUAGCGUCCUUCUCAAACAAGCCACAGAUCUGCUUCUUGCCCUUUGAAAGCUGAUGGCUCCGCUUCCAAGUACCGUUGCUGGGAGGCAGAUUAUGAAACGGGAUGCGCUGUCAGAAACGCAGCCCAGCCAGACGUUUAACCUGACCUUUCAUCUAACCUCGGUCAUCACAGCCUGGGCAAAGCUGGUUGGUCUUAUGCAUUGAGAGGAUGUCAUCGAAAGAGAUGUCACGAUGUUGAAAAACAGUGCGAGUCUCUUCUGCUUUAAAAAAAAAAUACUUUUUUUGGAGCAGUUUUACUAUUG
Long non-coding RNA from Eptesicus fuscus (big brown bat), 512 nucleotides. RefSeq lists it as uncharacterized. Lineage: Eukaryota; Metazoa; Chordata; Mammalia; Chiroptera; Vespertilionidae. The transcript is spliced from 4 exons. The record is from RefSeq and is a predicted model, not a curated record.